UAAAACAAAGGACAAUGGGCACUUUUGUAUGGGGAGUGUCCCAUGGAUGUAUACUGUUGAGACAUAUGUCGUUUUAAAGCUCUUAAUCGUAGUAUUAUUUUAUUGUAUGGCACCAACCUUGGACUACUUGCAGGGACCGAGCUAUAUAAAAAAAGAAGUUGCGCAUAUAAGCAGUUAUAUUUCCUUAUACGCGGGAUAUAAAAAGUUUUAGCGUAUUUUAUUCGAAAGAAUAUAAAAAAUGCUUUAUGUUUUUUGUAUCAACACCAAUGAUAAAGUAUUUAAAGGGACACAAUGUACAGUUUUAAAAAAUCGUCAUUCUAAAAAUUACUUGAUACACAGCGAAAUAAGAGUGUAUACAAAUGCCAUGUAUAUCAUGUGAAAAGUAUUUUUAUAAGCUAUUUUUCGUAUAAUAUAACUGGGGUCAAAUCGUUGCAGGGACCAAAAUAAAACCAUUUAAUGAGUUAAUUAAUUGUAGUUAAUUACGCCUUAACUUUUCUACUCAACGCCAGAUGUCGCUCUAAAGCAAAAUUCUACUUGACGUAAAACAUUUAUACAUAGCGGUAAUCUCGUCAGUCUUACUCCAUCAUUUUAAAAAGUAUAGACUAGUUUAUGGAUUUCUAAAGUUAUGUCAAGAUGACUCUGAAUGUAAUAUUGUCAACAAUAAUUGUCAAAAGACGCAAUUUAAAAUAUUCAACAUUGUAAUUACAAAAUAGUAUAUUUCUAAUACGCUAUAAUUUUCUCCAAUCGAAAGGCACUCCAUUCCAUUGAUCUCAGAGAGUAUGCUCCUUGAUGAUCUUCACUAUUCAUGGGAAACCAUACGGAAAUAAUGAGGAUGCAUCGACAUAAGAAGAAUCGAACAUGGGCAAGAUAAAGUUCAAGAAAAAAGCAAAUAUAAUGUGUACUUGUGUGUAGUCAAAGAAAGUUGAAAAAUAAAGCAUAAUUAAUGGCCAUAGAAUACAGAACCGAUACACGAACAUUAAGACUAUUAAAAAUAGACAUAUAGGUUGAUCGUACUACUCGUACUAAUGUAUUUUUUUUUUGUUCAAUUAUAUUAUUGCAUUAAAGUUAGAUUCUCUAGAUAUAUAUUAUUCAUAGGUUCUGUAUUCUAUACGAAUUGUUUCAGUGUAAUUAUUGUCCUAAAUACCGUUGACCGCCUGUCAACAGUAUUUGUUUCUACAUUACUAUCACAGAAGAUUUUAGGCCCUACAGUAGUUUUUGAAUUAGUAUUUACUAUGGACAAAUAUAGCGAAAUGUGAGUUUUUACCUAAAAUAUCAAUCUUUUGUGAACGUGGUGUAGAGUGUAUACCGCCUAAGACUGAAGUAGCUACGCGGGCAACGUUUUCAAAAUAGAAUCGUGUUCAUGGUCGGCCCAUGGUAAAAAUAAUUAGGUACCCGUAGAGCCGCUGGUGAACACUGUUUAUGAUAACACUUAAAAUAAACCCCGUGGACCCACCAGGAGAACAUAUUGGAGAGACUAGAGAUAAUACACCGCUUUAAGGGCGGUCGCACUCGGCAUUGACAUCUGGCGUCUAGAUGGCGGGUGGACCUCAGCGAAUUUCAAAGAAAUAUUUAUAAACAUCCAAUGACGUUCGGCUCGGACACCAGAUCUUCAAUCUCCUGAUUCCUGUGGAGUCUCCAGGUUCCAUCCUCUCCACGUGUGAGUCCUAGGAUUUUUCGCGCUGCCAGACUCCGAUGACUCGGGCACGUAGUCCAGAUGGGUGAGGAUCGUGCAGCCUGGAGGGCGUACUCUGAAGUUCCAAAUGGCCGAACACCGUCUAGACGUCCUAGGUAGGUCCCGCUGGAGAGACGAAAUGCAAAAAGACCUUGGCGAACUCGGCGCCGUCGACUAGAUGGCAACGGUUUUGGACAGAGAAGCAUGGCGGUCUUUGGUGUCGGAGGCCAAGAUCCACUUCGGGUCGCUGCGCCAUAGCAGUAAGUAAGUAUUUAUAAACAUACUGUACCUUCUGUGUACCUAACCCAAAACGAGAUAUUUAAGAAAAAGUCCACCCGCCAUUCUGAGGUCAGGAUUGCGGUUGGACCUAUGAAAUCUUGCAUUAUACCGCACUAAAAGUAUGCAGUUAUAUGGUACAGUCGCCAUCAGAUAUAUCGGAGUGGCCGAGGUGCUCAAAGAUCUCUAAACACGCACUCUAACCUCUUGACAGUAGAGGCAUGUUCAGAUAUUCGUGGGUACCUUGGCCGCUCCGAUAUAUAUGAUGGUGACUGUACCUUCAGUGUACCUCUGUAAAUAGAAAUAGAAACCGGUGUACCUCUCCCCAAAACAAGCUAGGCUAAGCUCAUGCACAAUAUAACUGCAUACUUUUAGUGGUAUAAUGCAAGAUUUCAUAGGUCCACCCGUCAUCCUGACGUCAGGUUGGCGGGUGGACCGUUUUGUAAAAUAUCUCGUUUUGGGGAAAGGUACACUGGUUUCUAUUAAAGGUACACUGAGGUACAGUCAGCAUCAAAUACUUUGUAGCAACCAAAGUAGCCAAAUAGUUCGGUACACCAUAUAUUUAGUAUGGUGUACCGAACUAUUUGGCCACUUUGACUGCUACAAAGUAUUUGACGCUGACUGUACACAGAAGGUACAAUAUGUUUAUAAAUAUUUCUUUGAAAUUCGCUGAGGUCCAUCGCCAUCCUGACGCUUACCAUAUAUCUAAGGACCGACCUUAGGGGCAAUAACGAUAGUGCUAUCGUGCUGUUUAACGCAACUAGAUGCGAUCAAUCGCGUGCGUAAUGCGAACUCAUCAACCAAUCACGUUGUGGUACUUGUGGCGUUAGACUGCACGAUUGGCUCAAACUCGUGUGCGUAACACCGCUGUACUGGCCCCAUUCUUAUUGCCCGUAAGGCCCGUCCUCAGAUAUAUUAUGUCAAUGACACAGUCGCGAUUUUACAAAAUCACAUCGCUUCUGCUACCAAAUUGUUGAGCAUAACGUUUUCCUAUCCAUAGGUUCCAUCUGUCCAGUAGGAUCCACCAUCUCGAUCCACCAGAUUGAAGAGAUUUACUUAACUGAUGGAUCGUGAUAAUGAAACCUACUGAAUAGAGCGGGUCGAUUGGAUAUAACAAAGUACGCUUAUAUGAAACGCUACUCCGGUGUGCGAGUGAGACAGUCAGGCCAAUUUGAACUUGCAUUUGACAGAAAACUGUCUCCAUCAAACGCUACCAGUUCCAUUGCCCGCCUCUUCGCUGCCUUCUAUAGUGGUUCAAUCUUACCUUGCUUAUCCUUUUGACCGCCGUAGUCUGAUAUAUCAGACAAUCAAUACCCAGCUCGUGUCGCCGCAGUCUGAUAAAUAAGACAUUUUUUUUCAUGUUUUUCUCAAGACAUUCUUUACUUUAAUAAAGUUUACUUUGGUUCUUUGCAUAAGUAAGUCGCAGUAAUUGUUAAUUAAGUAACAGUGAGACUGAUCUGUUGAUUUUAUUAUAUUUUCUAGUUGAAAAUAAACUUUAAUUAUACCAUUAGAUUAUGUAUGAUUUUACCCCAAGUCUCGUAGCCAAAGUCUUAUUUAAAAGACACCAGUGAUGUGACGAUGAUUGGUAUUGAAAUAUCUACGUCGACUUUCUCAUUCGAUGUUUAGAUUUACGACGUAAGAUUUAUGCAUGCGACUGACCUUACUUAGCUAACCUAUUUUAUCACUUCGAUAUGUUCUUAUAAAAUUAUGACUUAAGUUGUCUAUUAUUCUACAAUGUCGUCCGCUGAAGAAUUAAUUAGAAUUUUAGAAGGAGCGCACGAAAAUGAAGACGAAAACGACAUGCCAUGAUGGCCUCGCAGUAAAUGAUCGAGUACCUAAUCCUUGUCAUUGUGAUCCCGAUCCAAGCAGUUCCACUUUACCAUUUACUCUUUGGACAUUUUGAUUCCAUGGAUGUUUUGACCCUUGGACAUUUUGACACUUGGACAUAUUGAGUCCUUGGACGUUUUCAAAGUUGAACUUAGAAAUAAAUAUAUUUGAAUUGUACUAGUGCCUACCUUCCAGGGUUUCGUGAAGUCGGUUUUUUUCAUCGAUGAUAGAUAUUUGAAUCGAUAAAUAAGGCGAGACUCUGUUAUCGUGGUUCAUCGGUAAUCCCUACUAAGUUAUUAUAUUCCGCAAUAAUAAUCAAUACAGACUACGCCGUCGUCUUAAAAAUGAGACCGCAUGUGACGUCAAAGAUAUAACUUAGAAAAUUUUAGUGGUGUAGAUUACUCGAUAUUUCAAAGUUAUGUUAGGUCAACAAAAUAUAUAAGAAGGUACUGUUUAGUAGUUUUAAAACUUUGAAAACUAUAAUAAUAUUGAGUUUACAAUAUUUAUUUAACAAAGAAUUGUGUUACUGUGUAAAAUUUUAUGAUUUAUUAUGCCAAACAACGUUGAAAUUUUCAGAUUCGAUACGUUUCUAAUGUGAUCAAUCCUCUCCCUACUAGUGUCAACUUAUCAACGAAAAUACAAUGAAGCCUUCGCCAAUGUCUGAAAUAGUAGACCGCUCAUGACGUCACAGAUACGAAAUAAAAAAUAAUAGUGAUGUAGCAAAGUCCAUCAAUAAAUUUGCAUAGCUGGUAAAAUUCACAGAUUCAAUCCAUUAAUAAAGGGACGAAACCAUAAAAAAGACAUUGGUAAACGUGAUUUAAUUAUUAUAAUAUUUUUUUUUAAUGAUAAGGUUGUAAAAAAUGAAGUUAAUCACUGUAAACUAUAAACAAUAAAAUAUUUUAUCGUAAGUUAUGUGGCAAGCACUACACAGUUUGUUAUUACUUAGUAUAGGCGGCGACACGGGCACGUCCGAUGACAUCCUAAGCGGCGUUCAAAAGGUUAUGAAUAAAAAGGGGCGUGCACACCGAUAUUAGAGUAAUAUUGGAAUCAUAUCAGUUAGUUGCGGGCGUCUCGCUCGCACAAAUACAUGCGUAUAAGUGCGAAAUGAACGCACGAAUGACAGCUAACUGGUAUCAUUCCAAUAUUAUUCUAAAAUUGGUUUAAUGUCAGUUGCACUUUCGAAUUGGCCUACAUAGCGAUUUCCUUAGCCUGCACACCGGAUCGGCGUGUGGGCCGGCAUCUAGCUAAUGUAAAGCCACCUCAUUAGGUGCUUUUAGCCUUUUGAACGGCAAGAACACCUAAAGAUGUGGUGAGAGAAAGCCGCGCGUCCCUCAUGCACUGCACUAGCUUUACAGCUUGCAUUGCGACCAAUGUAUGCCGCUCACCGCCCCGCCGGUCGCGUGGGUCCAAUCCGCGGCCCUAGAAGACGUACUUUACAUAUAAACAAGAGCACGCGAGCAUUUUGCGAGUUGUGAAUGUGUACUUGUGUUAUCUAGGCGCACAAACGGUUACAAUAACAAGAAGUGUACACCGCGUGUGCAGUCCAACACGGGAGCACGGGUGCGAUUCGAAAAUAACGCGCUAGCGACGCAUUACGACAUUGAUAUUUUACCCUUUGAACGCCAUAACAAAAACGUUACUCACAUGCCAAGGUCACGGGCGCAAGUGAGCUUGAAAGUGCAUGAGUAUUACAUUAGGGACUUUGACAGCGAUUAUAACAGCUAUAAUCAUUAAUGUUUUAAUGGCAGUGACGGCGCCUUUAGGUGUUCUUGACGUUCAAAAGGUUAAGGGCGUUUGCUAGCUGGCGCUAGUGCACGGAGCGGGCAAACACGCGCAGGUGCCUUUGUAAGUAAAAUCAGUCACACGCGUCCGCGCCAGUUAGCGUUGCUCAUACUGUAAGCCGCACGCCCGCUCCAUGCACACGCGCGACGUUGCGGACGCCCUAUGCCCUAAACCUUACUUGAAAGUGUGAAGGUUACUCUGACAGCGGCUAUAUCAGCUAUAAUGUAUUUAUGACGCUUUGAGCAUAGCUAGUUACGACGCCUUAAGGUAUUCUUGGCGUUCAAAAGGUUAAGGGCGUUUGCUAGCUGGCGCGAGUGCACGGAGCGGGUGCACGCGCGCGGGUGCCUUUGUAGGUAAAAUUCGUCGCACGCGUCCGCGCCAGCUAGCGUCGCCAGUUACUGUUUUUCGUUAACCCGCUCCAGCUAGCAAACUGAUCGCAAAUGGUCCGAGAUUGGCGCAAUAACCAUGCAUUCCCUUAUCUGGAUCUGGAUGCACCUAUUCACCAAUGCUUGCUUUAAAGUAACUUGUCGACUCGUCCUGAUAAUAUUUGUGCGACCGUGAAGAAAAUCUAUGCCGUCACUUAUUUUUCAAUUUAUAUGAAAUAAAGAUGUUAAAUGUA
Long non-coding RNA from Cydia pomonella (codling moth), 6176 nucleotides. RefSeq lists it as uncharacterized. NCBI's taxonomy places the organism in Eukaryota, Metazoa, Arthropoda, Insecta, Lepidoptera, Tortricidae. The transcript has 2 exons. The record is from RefSeq and is a predicted model, not a curated record.